UCGAGAAUCUUCCGCAAUGGGCGAAAGCCUGACGGAGCGACGCCGCGUGAUUGAUGAAGUCCCUCGGGACGUAAAGAUCUUUUAUGGGAUAGAAAGUCAUUGAUCGUCCCAUGAAUAAGAGGUUGCUAAACUCGUGCCAGCAGCAGCGGUAAUACGAGUGCCUCAAGCGUUAUCCGGAAUUAUUGGGUGUAAAGGGUGUGUAGGCGGCACUACUAGUCUCUCGUUAAAUCUGGCAGCUCAACUGUCAAACUGCGAGGGAAACGGUAGUACUUGAGGGUGUGAGGGGUGAACAGAACUCUAGGUGUAGGGGUGAAAUCCGUUGAUAUCUAGGGGAAUACCAAAAGCGAAGGCAGUUCACUGGCACAUUUCUGACGCUGAAACACGAAAGCGUGGGUAGCGA
This 400-nucleotide ribosomal RNA is filed under the name uncultured bacterium. Its description in RNAcentral is "bacterial SSU rRNA". It matches the Rfam family "Bacterial small subunit ribosomal RNA", at positions 355 to 771 of the family's 1533-position model. The record is from RNAcentral.